AUAUUUUAUAGUUUAAUUUUAUAUAUAGUAACAUUAUAUAUACCACAUAACAUUUUUGGUUUUAUAUAAUCUUUUCUAAAUUAGGAUGAUUUGAUAUGUUUAAUAUUAGUGGUCUUAAAAAAUAAUAAAUUAAAGAUUUAACUCGUAUUGAAAGGAUGGAUUAAUUAUAUUUUACUUUUUAAUUAAUGUUGAUUCAAAAACUCGUCCCUCUAAAUCCGUCUUGCCAAAAAGCAAUUUAUUUUAUAAAAAUUCUUUCUAAUGCCAUUUUCAUGAUGCCCUUUUUCAAUUUUAUCCUUUUUCUUUAGCCAUUUUCAUUUCUACCCUCUUUAAAUUUUUAAUGACCAUUUUACCCCUAUUUGGAAAUUGUUUUAGGUUAACAAAAUGAAAUAUUAAUAUUUUUCGCCUAAAUAUUAACAAAAUAAAUUAUUAAUCUUUCUUGCCAAAAUUUUCCCGCCAAAAAAAUUUCGAAAAAAUUUCCCGCCAAUUUUUUACAAGGGAUUUUAAAAGGUUUAAAAAAAAAUUACAAG
RNAcentral lists this small RNA (527 nucleotides) under Arabidopsis thaliana (thale cress). RNAcentral's name for it is "ATSL033220". The record is from RNAcentral. Lineage: Eukaryota; Viridiplantae; Streptophyta; Magnoliopsida; Brassicales; Brassicaceae.